AAAAAACCUAUUUAAUUUACCACACCCACAAGAGGAGACAAGUCGUAACAAGGUAAGCAUACUGGAAAGUGUGCUUGGAUAACAAGAUGUAGCUUAAACAAAGCAUCUGGCCUACACCCAGAAGAUUUCAUAUCAAACUGACCAUCUUGAGCCAAAGCUAGCCCAAACAUCCACAAACCCAACUAACACUAGAAAAUAAAACAAAACAUUUAGUUACUUCAAAAAGUAUAGGAGAUAGAAAUUUAACUUGGCGCUAUAGAGAUAGUACCGCAAGGGAAAGAUGAAAGACAAAAUUAAAAGCACUACACAGCAAAGAUUACCCCUUGUACCUUUUGCAUAAUGAGUUAGCUAGAACUAGCCUAGCAAAGAGAACUUCAGCUAGGCCCCCCGAAACCAGACGAGCUACCCACGAACAAUCUAUUACAGGAUGAACUCGUCUAUGUUGCAAAAUAGUGAGAAGAUUUGUAGGUAGAGGUGAAAAGCCUAACGAGCCUGGUGAUAGCUGGUUGCCCAGAAUAGAAUCUUAGUUCAACUUUAAACUUACCUCAAAAACCCAUAAUUCCAAUGUAAGUUUAAAAUAUAGUCUAAAAAGGUACAGCUUUUUAGAAUUAGGAUACAGCCUUUAUUAGAGAGUAAGCAUUAACCACAAACCAUAGUUGGCUUAAGAGCAGCCAUCAAUUAAGAAAGCGUUCAAGCUCAACAAUCGGAACAUCUUAAUGUCAAAAAACACAACCAACUCCUAAUUUAAAACUGGGCUAAUCUAUUUAACAAUAGAAGCAAUAAUGCUAAUAUGAGUAACAAGAAAUAUUUCUCCCUGCAUAAGCUUAUAUCAGAACGGAUAACCACUGAUAGUUAACAACAAGAUAUGUACAACCCAACUAUAAACAAAAUAUCAAACUAAUUGUUAACCCAACACAGGCAUGCAAACUUAGGGAAAGAUUAAAAGAAGUAAAAGGAACUCGGCAAACACAAGCCCCGCCUGUUUACCAAAAACAUCACCUCUAGCAUUUCUAGUAUUAGAGGCACUGCCUGCCCAGUGACACUAGUUAAACGGCCGCGGUAUCCUGACCGUGCAAAGGUAGCAUAAUCAUUUGUUCUCUAAAUAAGGACUUGUAUGAAUGGCCACACGAGGGCUUUACUGUCUCUUACUUCCAAUCCGUGAAAUUGACCUUCCCGUGAAGAGGCGGGAAUAUAACAAUAAGACGAGAAGACCCUAUGGAGCUUUAAUUAACCGACCCAAAGAGACCCCAUUUAUCCAACCGACAGGAACAACAAACCUCUACUAUGGGUCGACAAUUUAGGUUGGGGUGACCUCGGAGAAUAAAAUAACCUCCGAGUGAUUUAAAUCAAGACUAACCAGUCAAAAGUAUUACAUCACUUAUUGAUCCAAAAACUUGAUCAACGGAACAAGUUACCCUAGGGAUAACAGCGCAAUCCUAUUUCAGAGUCCAUAUCGACAAUAGGGUUUACGACCUCGAUGUUGGAUCAGGACAUCCCGAUGGUGCAGCAGCUAUCAAAGGUUCGUUUGUUCAACGAUUAAAGUCCUACGUGAUCUGAGUUCAGACCGGAGUAAUCCAGGUCGGUUUCUAUCUAUUAAACAAUUUCUCCCAGUACGAAAGGACAAGAGAAAUAAGGCCCACUUUACCAAAGCGCCUUUAACCUAAUAGAUGAUAUAAUCUUAAUCUAGACAGUUUACCUAAUUUUAUCUACCCGAGAGCUCGGGUUUGUUAGGGUGGCAGAGCCCGGUAACUGCAUAAAACUUAAGCUUUUACAAUCAGAGGUUCAACUCCUCUCCCUAACAACAUGUUCAUAAUUAACAUCCUCUCACUAAUCAUCCCUAUCCUUCUCGCUGUAGCCUUCCUAACCCUAGUCGAACGAAAAGUACUGGGCUACAUACAACUCCGUAAAGGACCAAAUGUCGUAGGGCCAUAUGGCCUACUCCAACCUAUUGCAGACGCCAUAAAACUAUUCACCAAAGAACCCCUACGACCCCUCACAUCCUCCAUACUCAUAUUCAUUAUAGCACCAAUCCUAGCUCUCACACUAGCCCUAACCAUAUGAAUCCCACUACCCAUACCAUACCCGCUCAUUAACAUAAACCUAGGAGUACUAUUUAUACUAGCCAUGUCAAGCCUAGCUGUCUAUUCCAUUCUAUGGUCAGGGUGAGCCUCAAACUCAAAAUACGCCCUAAUUGGAGCCCUACGAGCCGUGGCCCAAACGAUCUCAUAUGAAGUUACAUUAGCCAUCAUCCUCCUAUCAGUACUA
This 2265-nucleotide long non-coding RNA is filed under the name Lynx pardinus (Iberian lynx). The stretch from base 228 to 1795 matches the Rfam family "Bacterial large subunit ribosomal RNA". Lineage: Eukaryota; Metazoa; Chordata; Mammalia; Carnivora; Felidae. The record is from RNAcentral.